Molecule: ribosomal RNA, 253 nt
Filed under: uncultured bacterium
Lineage: Bacteria
Description: partial 16S ribosomal RNA
Rfam family: Bacterial small subunit ribosomal RNA
Source: RNAcentral
UACGAAGGGGGCUAGCGUUGCUCGGAAUUACUGGGCGUAAAGCGCACGUAGGCGGCUUUCUAAGUCGGGGGUGAAAUCCUGGAGCUCAACUCCAGAACUGCCUUCGAUACUGGAAAGCUCGAGUCCGGGAGAGGUGAGUGGAACUGCGAGUGUAGAGGUGAAAUUCGUAGAUAUUCGCAAGAACCCCAGUGGCGAAGGCGGCUCACUGGCCCGGUACUGACGCUGAGGUGCGAAAGCGUGGGGAGCAAACAGG